Molecule: ribosomal RNA, 253 nt
Filed under: uncultured bacterium
Lineage: Bacteria
Description: partial 16S ribosomal RNA
Rfam family: Bacterial small subunit ribosomal RNA
Source: RNAcentral
UACGGGGGGGGCAAGCGUUGUUCGGAAUUACUGGGCGUAAAGGGCUCGUAGGCGGCCAACUAAGUCAAACGUGAAAUCCCUCGGCUUAACCGGAGAACUGCGCUUGAUACUGGAUGGCUUGAGAUUGGGAGAGGGAUGCGGAAUUCCAGGUGUAGCGGUGAAAUGCGCAGAUAUCAGGAGGAACACCGGUGGCGAAGGCGGCUUGCUGGGCCAGUUCUGACGCUGAGGAGCGAAAGCGUGGGGAGCGAACAGG